This 634-nucleotide ribosomal RNA is filed under the name Penicillium commune. Its description in RNAcentral is "eukaryotic LSU rRNA". It matches the Rfam family "Eukaryotic large subunit ribosomal RNA", at positions 23 to 673 of the family's 3401-position model. Lineage: Eukaryota; Fungi; Ascomycota; Eurotiomycetes; Eurotiales; Aspergillaceae. The record is from RNAcentral.
ACCCGCUGAACUUAAGCAUAUCAAUAAGCGGAGGAAAAGAAACCAACAGGGAUUGCCCCAGUAACGGCGAGUGAAGCGGCAAGAGCUCAAAUUUGAAAGCUGGCUCCUUCGGGGUCCGCAUUGUAAUUUGCAGAGGAUGCUUCGGGAGCGGUCCCCAUCUAAGUGCCCUGGAACGGGACGUCAUAGAGGGUGAGAAUCCCGUAUGGGAUGGGGUGUCCGCGCCCGUGUGAAGCUCCUUCGACGAGUCGAGUUGUUUGGGAAUGCAGCUCUAAAUGGGUGGUAAAUUUCAUCUAAAGCUAAAUAUUGGCCGGAGACCGAUAGCGCACAAGUAGAGUGAUCGAAAGAUGAAAAGCACUUUUGAAAAGAGAGUUAAAAAGCACGUGAAAUUGUUGAAAGGGAAGCGCUUGCGACCAGACUCGCUCGCGGGGUUCAGCCGGCAUUCGUGCCGGUGUAUUUCCCCGCGGGCGGGCCAGCGUCGGUUUGGGCGGUCGGUCAAAGGCCCUCGGAAGGUAACGCCCCUAGGGGCGUCUUAUAGCCGAGGGUGCAAUGCGACCUGCCUAGACCGAGGAACGCGCUUCNNCUCGGACGCUGGCANAANNNNNNGUAANCNNCCCGUCUGAAACACGACCAAGAG